CAAAGGUGUACUGCGAUUAGGAAAGUGUUCAGAACGUGAAACAUACCUGUCAUAUGCUCAUAUACAGUACUCAGAUAAGAAAUCUGGGUAUUGCCAGGUCCCAAAGCAGAGGCAGAGGGUCUCAUAGAAUUGGUCUGAAAUUUGAUUCCUUGCAACAGGUGAGAGAUACAGUAUUCAGUAUAUUUGAUAUACAGUAAAUAACAGGCAGAAACAUUUUAGAAAUAUUAGUCUUACUGUACGACACUGUUCAAUGAAAUAUUGAACUUUUUUCAAAUAUUAAACAAACUGCAUCCCCAAGCCCCAUUAUUUUCUUGAUUCACUGUGAAGUGAAUUAUGUCUUGAAGUCAAAAUCAUUUUCACCAGCAUGGCUC
This is a long non-coding RNA of Cryptotermes secundus, 371 nucleotides long. RefSeq lists it as uncharacterized. The transcript is spliced from 2 exons. The record is from RefSeq and is a predicted model, not a curated record. Lineage: Eukaryota; Metazoa; Arthropoda; Insecta; Blattodea; Kalotermitidae.